Molecule: ribosomal RNA, 1343 nt
Filed under: uncultured bacterium
Lineage: Bacteria
Description: 16S ribosomal RNA
Rfam family: Bacterial small subunit ribosomal RNA
Source: RNAcentral
GACGAACGCUUGCGGCGUGCUUAACACAUGCAAGUCGAACGGAAAGGCCCUGCUUUUGUGGGGUGCUCGAGUGGCGAACGGGUGAGUAACACGUGAGUAACCUGCCCUUGACUUUGGGAUAACUUCAGGAAACUGGGGCUAAUACCGGAUAGGAGCUCCUGCUGCAUGGUGGGGGUUGGAAAGUUUCGGCGGUUGGGGAUGGACUCGCGGCUUAUCAGCUUGUUGGUGGGGUAGUGGCUUACCAAGGCUUUGACGGGUAGCCGGCCUGAGAGGGUGACCGGCCACAUUGGGACUGAGAUACGGCCCAGACUCCUACGGGAGGCAGCAGUGGGGAAUAUUGCACAAUGGGCGGAAGCCUGAUGCAGCAACGCCGCGUGCGGGAUGACGGCCUUCGGGUUGUAAACCGCUUUCGCCUGUGACGAAGCGUGAGUGACGGUAAUGGGUAAAGAAGCACCGGCUAACUACGUGCCAGCAGCCGCGGUGAUACGUAGGGUGCGAGCGUUGUCCGGAUUUAUUGGGCGUAAAGGGCUCGUAGGUGGUUGAUCGCGUCGGAAGUGUAAUCUUGGGGCUUAACCCUGAGCGUGCUUUCGAUACGGGUUGACUUGAGGAAGGUAGGGGAGAAUGGAAUUCCUGGUGGAGCGGUGGAAUGCGCAGAUAUCAGGAGGAACACCAGUGGCGAAGGCGGUUCUCUGGGCCUUUCCUGACGCUGAGGAGCGAAAGCGUGGGGAGCGAACAGGCUUAGAUACCCUGGUAGUCCACGCUGUAAACGGUGGGUACUAGGUGUGGGGUCCAUUCCACGGGUUCCGUGCCGUAGCUAACGCUUUAAGUACCCCGCCUGGGGAGUACGGCCGCAAGGCUAAAACUCAAAGGAAUUGACGGGGCCCCGCACAAGCGGCGGAGCAUGCGGAUUAAUUCGAUGCAACGCGUAGAACCUUACCUGGGUUUGACAUGGAUCGGGAGUGCUCAGAGAUGGGUGUGCCUCUUUUGGGGUCGGUUCACAGGUGGUGCAUGGCUGUCGUCAGCUCGUGUCGUGAGAUGUUGGGUUAAGUCCCGCAACGAGCGCAACCCUUGUUCACUGUUGCCAGCACGUUAUGGUGGGGACUCAGUGGAGACCGCCGGGGUCAACUCGGAGGAAGGUGGGGAUGACGUCAAGUCAUCAUGCCCCUUAUGUCCAGGGCUUCACGCAUGCUACAAUGGCUGGUACAGAGGGUGGCGAGCCUGUGAUGGUGAGCGAAUCUCGGAAAGCCGGUCUCAGUUCGGAUUGGGGUCUGCAACUCGACCUCAUGAAGUCGGAGUCGCUAGUAAUCGCAGAUCAGCAACGCUGCGGUGAAUACGUCCCCGGG